Molecule: unclassified non-coding RNA, 316 nt
Filed under: Hevea brasiliensis (rubber tree)
Lineage: Eukaryota; Viridiplantae; Streptophyta; Magnoliopsida; Malpighiales; Euphorbiaceae
Source: RNAcentral
AAAAAAAAAAAAAAAAAAAAACUGGAUACUGAAAAAGACCAAGAAAAAGUGUGUGUGUUUGUGUGUGUAUAUUAAAAUAAACACGCAUUAAAGUACGAUAAAAUCAUUCUGACACUUUUCUGAAGAUUCAUUUCACACAAGAAACCAGAUUUUUCACAUGUAGAUAAAAUAAAAGGGGAUGAUUACAAUGCAAGAGCAGGAUUAAGCUCCUCUUCUUCUUAAUACUAAAUAGGGCUUUAAAUUUUAACUGGAUGUAGAAAAAAAAAAAAAUAGAAAGGAAAAAACAGAAAUGUAUAUGAAAUCCGAAAGAAAUUUG